GACGAACGCUGGCGGCGUGCUUAACACAUGCAAGUCGAACGCGCCUGUCCUCUGGGUUUCUGGGGGGUGGGUGAGUGGCGAAGGGGUGAGUAACAAGUGAGUAACCUGCACCCGUCUUCGUGAUAACGGUCUGAAAGGGCUGCUAAUACCGGGUAUUCACUGGUCUCCGCAUGGGGUCUGGUGGAAAGGUUUUUUUCGGGUGGGGGAUGGGGUCGCGGCCUAUCAGAUUGUUGGUGGGGUGAUGGCCGACCAAGGCUUUGACGGGUAGCCGGCCUGAGAGGGGUACCGGUCACAUUGGGACUGAGAUACGGCCCAGACUCCUACGGGAGGCAGCAAUGGGGAAUAUUGCACAAUGGGCGCAAGCCUGAUGCAGCGACGCCGCGUGAGGGAUGGAGGCCUUCGGGUUGUGAACCUCUUUCGCCCGUGGUCAAGCCGCGACGUGGGUCGUGGUGAGGGUAGUGGGUAAAUAAGCGCCGGCUAACUACGUG
This 488-nucleotide ribosomal RNA is filed under the name uncultured bacterium. Its description in RNAcentral is "partial 16S ribosomal RNA". It matches the Rfam family "Bacterial small subunit ribosomal RNA", at positions 28 to 507 of the family's 1533-position model. The record is from RNAcentral.